UUACAUUUGCACCAACCUGAUAAAACUGGAACAAUACAGAGAAGAUUAGCAUGGCCCCUGCACAAGAAUGACAUGCAUAUUCAGAAAGCAUUUCAUAUUUUU
Small nuclear RNA from Pongo abelii (Sumatran orangutan), 102 nucleotides. Lineage: Eukaryota; Metazoa; Chordata; Mammalia; Primates; Hominidae. The record is from Ensembl.